GAUGAAGAACGUAGCGAAAUGCGAUAAUUAAUGUGAAUUACAGAAUUCCGUGAAUCAUCGAGUCUUUGAACGCACAUUGCGCCUCAUGGCAUUCCGUGAGGCAUGCCCAUCUCAGCGUUAGAAAAUAUUCUCAAAUUUUAGUUUUGUGCUAAAAUUUGGAUCAUGUCAAGGAAGCUAUUACUAUUAUUGUGAUCGCUCUUUGGAAAUUGAUAGGUCUUUGAGUUGCUACUCAUAGAACGUGAUGAAUCUUUCUUCGUUCUAUUGUCAUUCACUCUGGUAGUCCUAAAACUUGUAUGCCUGUGGCAUAUCUUGUAAUUUGACCUGAGAUUGGGUAGGGAUACCCGCUGAACUUAAGCAUAUCAAUAAGCGGAGGA
This 374-nucleotide unclassified non-coding RNA is filed under the name soil metagenome. RNAcentral describes it as "partial contains internal transcribed spacer 2 and large subunit ribosomal RNA". The stretch from base 1 to 120 matches the Rfam family "5.8S ribosomal RNA", at positions 35 to 154 of the family's 154-position model. The record is from RNAcentral.